UUCCAAUCCAACGUUUUCCUUUCUCUCUCUUUAUAAACGAUCUUCCUCCCCCCUCUUGCCUCUGUCUCUUUGUUCCACACAAAAACAACAACAACAUCCAUGAAUCCAAAACCCAGAAAACUUGGAUCAUCCCCUAACCCCAAAAUCAAAUCACAAGCAUGCAAUUAACAACAUUCAACAUGUGAAUCAUAACCUCGCAAAACUAAGUGGUGCAGAGACAAGGUGAAAGUGGCGCGGCUGAGCAAGAGGGCGGUGCGGCAG
This is a long non-coding RNA of Vicia villosa (hairy vetch), 261 nucleotides long. RefSeq lists it as uncharacterized. The record is from RefSeq and is a predicted model, not a curated record. NCBI's taxonomy places the organism in Eukaryota, Viridiplantae, Streptophyta, Magnoliopsida, Fabales, Fabaceae. The transcript has 2 exons.